This 359-nucleotide ribosomal RNA is filed under the name uncultured Salmonella sp. Its description in RNAcentral is "bacterial SSU rRNA". It matches the Rfam family "Bacterial small subunit ribosomal RNA", at positions 555 to 913 of the family's 1533-position model. The record is from RNAcentral. Lineage: Bacteria; Pseudomonadati; Pseudomonadota; Gammaproteobacteria; Enterobacterales; Enterobacteriaceae.
UGGGCGUAAAGCGCACGCAGGCGGUCUGUCAAGUCGGAUGUGAAAUCCCCGGGCUCAACCUGGGAACUGCAUUCGAAACUGGCAGGCUUGAGUCUUGUAGAGGGGGGUAGAAUUCCAGGUGUAGCGGUGAAAUGCGUAGAGAUCUGGAGGAAUACCGGUGGCGAAGGCGGCCCCCUGGACAAAGACUGACGCUCAGGUGCGAAAGCGUGGGGAGCAAACAGGAUUAGAUACCCUGGUAGUCCACGCCGUAAACGAUGUCUACUUGGAGGUUGUGCCCUUGAGGCGUGGCUUCCGGAGCUAACGCGUUAAGUAGACCGCCUGGGGAGUACGGCCGCAAGGUUAAAACUCAAAUGAAUUGG